Long non-coding RNA from Prinia subflava (tawny-flanked prinia), 1239 nucleotides. RefSeq lists it as uncharacterized. The record is from RefSeq and is a predicted model, not a curated record. The transcript is spliced from 3 exons. NCBI's taxonomy places the organism in Eukaryota, Metazoa, Chordata, Aves, Passeriformes, Cisticolidae.
CUAGACCUAAGGUUUGAGGUUCUGGGUUUUCCAGUGGACAGAGAUGUGCUGUUUGGUUUGACAGUAUGCAGAGACACCAGAUUUUCAAGUGUGACAAAUUUCUCUAGACAAAACCCAUCACUAGUUGGGAUGGACUUUGCCUGGCUUGGGCUUCAGGGCAGUGCACCUUCCCCAGUGGAAGCAGGGAACAUUUCUCUGGCCAGCUGUGAUUAUUUUGGAAGGUGUUUUGGGGUGAGAUCCCCUGACAGCCUGUGAGUGGAGGUUUGGGGCUCGGGUGGAGGGGCUGUGAUGCUGUGUCUGGGAAGCCCUGUUGCCAUGGAGAAGCCGUGGGAAUUGUCUGCCUGGCUCUCCUGACUUUUUUCCUAGCACGAAGCAAAGGCAUCUCUCCAGCUGUAAUGAGCUUCCUAGCUGCCUCCUCUUCUGGGGUAACCCAGACCCCUAAAUGCCUGGGGUAAAUCCAAAGGCAGGGAGGAAACCCUAAAGGAAGGCAGGGAAGAAGCAGAGAGCAAGAGGAGAAUCUGCAGGGGUGGGCGAGGGCUCCCGGGAUGCUGUGGAGUGAUGGAGCUGGGUGAUUCUCCAGGGCACACGGACCAACACGGGAAAUUCCCAGUGGAUCUAUGGAAAUCUUUCCCUGUGAGAGCAGUGCAGCCCUGGGACGUGGACCAGAGCAGUUUACAUCUCCAUCCUUGGAGGUGUUCAAAACCCACCAGGCCAAGCCCUGACCAGUCUUCAAAGUGCCCUGCUGUGGGCUGGAGCUGCCCAGCCUCCAAGAGGGAGACCUUGCUGGGGAACAGGCAAGGGAGAGUUUGAGGGAGCUCCAAGAGGCACAGAUUUUACUUUGGAGUCUAUGGAGAGAGAGGACUGAAGCUUUUCCCCAACUUUUGGUCUCUUCAUGCAGGGUCUCUGAAGGACAGUGAAACAUGAGCUUAUGCUACAGCCCUUCCUCAGGUGACACUGGGCACCAGAAGGUUUCUGGGCACCCAUCUCCCCCUCAUGGCUCCGUGCCUCCAGUCACUCUGGGAACGGCGGUGCUGCCUGCUCUGGGACAAUGGUGGGAAGCAGUGACCGGCUCAGGGACCAGCCGUGUGUUCGGAUCAAAGCCAGCCGUGUGUUCGUGUCUAUCCUUCAGAGCUGUCCUGUCCAAAACCCGAUAGCCCCACCUUCAUGGCCGUGUCCACCCCAUGAGCAGAGGGAUGCGGCUGCACUCAUACACCGCCCUGCUGUGGAAAAUAAACCGUG